Molecule: long non-coding RNA, 556 nt
Organism: Stegodyphus dumicola
Lineage: Eukaryota; Metazoa; Arthropoda; Arachnida; Araneae; Eresidae
Source: RefSeq, a predicted model, not a curated record
AUUCAUUUCCAUUCCAUUGCGAUAUUAAUGAAAAUUUGAAUUUUCCUUGUAAACAGGAAACGUCUGCAUGUUGCAAAUUGUGAUGGAUGCUUUAAAGGACGUAUUGCAGUUCUCAAAAUAUAUAUAUAUAUGCUUGGUUUACACUCCCUCCAAGAAUUCAUCUCAUAGUUGGUGCAGGUGGUAGAGUAUUUCGAAGUGGUCAUCGAGCUGCCUAAAUGCUUUAUAGUCAUCCGGAAAACAAGCUUUCAAAGAAAAAAAAUGUCAGAGAGAAGAAUUUGCAUUUGUAGGAAACUCUAAAAUUGUUUUGCAACUCAGGUUCUCUACUUUUGAACUCGACUAAUUUAACAGAAUUUCACUUCGCAUUGCAGUUUGUGAUUUUAUCAAAAUCAAGAAAUAUUGCUAUAAAGUUGUUGUCAUUGUGAAAGAUGUACAAUAGUAAGCGCAAUUUUGCUACUAUUAUUGCUCUAUCGUUAUUCAAAUCUUCUGUAAUUUUUCAUGCCUGAAUUCGCUUUAUAAGUAUUAUAAAAUCUAUCAGUCCUUUCUUUUUCUUAUAUUA